GAUCCUGGCUCAGAAUCAACGCUGGCGGCGUGCCUAACACAUGCAAGUCGAACGCGAAAGGGGAGCAAUCCCUGAGUAGAGUGGCAAACGGGUGAGUAACACGUGGGUGACCUGCCUCAGAGUGGGGGAUAACGUCCCGAAAGGGACGCUAAUACCGCAUAACAUCCUGCCUUUGGAAAGGCGGAGAUCAAAGCCGGGGAUCGCAAGACCUGGCGCUUGGAGAGGGGCCCGCGUCUGAUUAGCUAGUUGGUAGGGUAAUGGCCUACCAAGGCGACGAUCAGUAUCCGGCCUGAGAGGGCGGACGGACACACUGGGACUGAGACACGGCCCAGACUCCUACGGGAGGCAGCAG
RNAcentral lists this ribosomal RNA (352 nucleotides) under uncultured Acidobacteriota bacterium. Its description in RNAcentral is "bacterial SSU rRNA". It matches the Rfam family "Bacterial small subunit ribosomal RNA", at positions 15 to 354 of the family's 1533-position model. Lineage: Bacteria; Pseudomonadati; Acidobacteriota. The record is from RNAcentral.